This 494-nucleotide ribosomal RNA is filed under the name uncultured bacterium. Its description in RNAcentral is "bacterial SSU rRNA". It matches the Rfam family "Bacterial small subunit ribosomal RNA", at positions 899 to 1397 of the family's 1533-position model. The record is from RNAcentral.
ACUCAAAUGAAUUGACGGGGACCCGCACAAGCGGUGGAUGAUGUGGAUUAAUUCGAUGCAACGCGAAAAACCUUACCUACCCUUGACAUGUCCAGAACCCUGCUGAAAGGUGGGGGUGCCCGAAAGGGAAUUGGAACACAGGUGCUGCAUGGCUGUCGUCAGCUCGUGUCGUGAGAUGUUGGGUUAAGUCCCGCAACGAGCGCAACCCUUGUCCUUAGUUGCUACGCAAGGGCACUCUAAGGAGACUGCCGGUGACAAACCGGAGGAAGGUGGGGAUGACGUCAAGUCCUCAUGGCCCUUAUGGGUAGGGCUUCACACGUCAUACAAUGGUCGGUACAGAGGGUAGCCAACCCGCGAGGGGGAGCCAAUCCCAGAAAGCCGAUCGUAGUCCGGAUCGCAGUCUGCAACUCGACUGCGUGAAGUCGGAAUCGCUAGUAAUCGCGGAUCAGCAUGUCGCGGUGAAUACGUUCCCGGGUCUUGUACACACCGCCCGU